GUUCUUAACUGAGAAGUUUAUCGUCGCCAGCAAAUUCUCUCUUCUUCUUCUCCGGUGGAUUUUACUAGCUUACCAUCUUUCGAAAAUCAAUAGCAAUUCCCCGAUUCAGAUUCUCGAUUGGAUAGCCCUCUCCUUUCUCUCCACCGUCUCCGGCGUCUUUUCGCCGCGGCUAAAACCUUCCCCCGACUACAUCGAUUUUCUGCGUUUUCGAAGGAGAAAAUGUCGAUGAUCGCAAGCUCGUCUUCGCACAGUGAUCCAGAUUCAAGAAGCUUGCAAGUGCUUCUUGACGCUUUUGGUUCUCGUUUUUCUCUUGAUGACAUAGCUGCUGCUUACUGCCAAGCAAGCCAGAAUGUCGAUGUGGCUGGUGAGAUUCUCGUUGCGAUGACAGAAAAGACGACUCAAAGUGACCAAGUCAAGACGAAUGGAGCAGCCUCAGAACCAACGCAUGUUCCCAAGGAAGUUCGACCACAAGAACAUAACAAAGCCAAAGUAUGGAGGUCGAAAAAAAAUUCCGUCUCAGUUGGUACUGUUUCAAGUGUUAUCGGUAAGGAGUAUGCUAGAACCAGGCCUAUAUCAAAUGCUCCCCGAGAAGCAACUAAACCGAUGAAGAUAGACUCGAAGGACAUUCCAGAAACUGAGAUAUGGAGUGAAAAAAUGCCAGAAUGCAACAAGGCAAACAUAAGCAGGGCUCCAACUGAUGUUGAGGAAUUUAUUGUUAAGAUGCUCGGAGAAGGCUUUGAAGCUAGCCCAGAGGUUUAUCUGCUUUCCACCAAUCUAUCAGGCGUAUGCGGAUAUGAUGUGAAGAAGAGUACGGAGAAACUGCUUGACUUGUCUGAUACUAAGAAGUAUGCUGAUGUUGGAAUUUCCAAUGAUGCUAUGUCAAAAGUUGAUCCUCAAAGACAGGGAUCUACGUCCGGCAACCAAGUGGAACUGCAAAAGUUUUCUCAGAGUGAUGGAGCAAGAACCUUAACAGGUUCACAGGAAGGAGGCAAGAACAAUACUGGUCUCGAAAAGGAAGUUUUAGAAGCUUUGUUCUCAGGUUCGGAAAGAUAUGAGGAAAUACCAAAAAUAACUCGACGGUUUGGAGAAAGGAGAGCAAGAGUUCCUGGUCGUCCUGUUUUUAAACCUCCGGAAGACCCUUUCGAAGAGACAGUGGUUACUGUGAAAGUAUCGUCACAUACACCUAAAGAAGAUGAAGAUGAAGAAGAUGAAUAUAAGGCACAUCGUAAAGCAGUACACGAGUAUUUGCAGGAGAUGAAAGAAUAUUACGGAGCUGCUGUAGAAGCAUUCUCCAAAGGGGAAACCGAGCGAGCACACAGACUCGUGGAGAAGGGGCACGUUUUCAGACGAAAAGCUCGAGAAGCAGAUGACAUAUCCAUGGCAAAGGUGUUUGAAGUCAAGUCAGAAAGACGAUGAUUUGACUUACAAGGAAGACGAGUUAGUGACAGUGAAUGUGAACGAACACGAACCAAGGGAAGCUCUUCGUCUUCUCAAGCUCCAAUUUAAGAACUUCUCCGGCAUUCCAUCUAUCAAGUACCUCAGAGUCAAAUUGGGUGACAACAAGGAAGAUUCCAAAUGCAAACGAAAGCAUACUGCAAUUGCAAAGCUGCUGGAGGGAGAAUCCAUUGCAUGGUCUGAAGAAAAUAAUGGCCUCGUGAUGAUGAUUCGAGUUGAUGUUAUUGACCCUAAGAAAUUGAGUUUUGCCAAGAAAUAAAAACACACCAUUGGUUGAAACCCUUUUGCUUCAUUCUAUUGAAAAAUUGACUGUACUGUUUGAAACAGUCUGAUUCGGUAUGUACCCAAACAAAGAGGCAUGUUGGCAGAAAUAUAAUUUUUGGUUUCGGAAUCGAAGAAUCAUCAAGCCAUCUGACAUUACAAU
This is an RNA transcript of Eutrema salsugineum, 1879 nucleotides long. It is a transcript of the gene named putative nuclear RNA export factor SDE5, with no coding region annotated. The record is from RefSeq and is a predicted model, not a curated record. NCBI's taxonomy places the organism in Eukaryota, Viridiplantae, Streptophyta, Magnoliopsida, Brassicales, Brassicaceae. The transcript has 12 exons.